AGAACCUUGUGAGAACUUUGAAUCCUAGCCCUACAUUGACAUCCAAUGGUUAGGAAUAGAGUGAUUAUUUAAAUACUUUUUGGUGGAAGAUCCCAAUGCAGUUUAUUAUUAUAUCAUUAAUAAUCUAGUACACCCUUUUGUCCAAAGAAUUUUUCCACCAUCCACAUUUACUUCUCUCUCCUACUUUUCACCUACUUCUUCAAUUUUUCUUUCCCUUUUCUCUCACUUCCGUUUUUUCCCCUUCAUCCCCUUCUCAAACCCUAUUUCCUCCCUUUCCUUACCUCUAGUGACUUCUACCAUUUCUAUCAAUCUCUCCAUCCUCUCCAAAAAAUGGUCAUUGGUUCUCCACUAACAUCUGCUCAGGUAUGUUUUCGCGUUUUCCCCCAAAUUUUUCCUUUCUCAUAUAGUUACAUUUAGUUAUUUUCAG
RNAcentral lists this long non-coding RNA (427 nucleotides) under Zostera marina. RNAcentral's name for it is "long non-coding RNA (ZMAR_LNC000730)". Lineage: Eukaryota; Viridiplantae; Streptophyta; Magnoliopsida; Alismatales; Zosteraceae. The record is from RNAcentral.